RNAcentral lists this ribosomal RNA (498 nucleotides) under uncultured bacterium. RNAcentral's name for it is "partial 16S ribosomal RNA". It matches the Rfam family "Bacterial small subunit ribosomal RNA", at positions 28 to 508 of the family's 1533-position model. The record is from RNAcentral.
GAUGAACGCUGGCGGCGUGCCUAAUACAUGCAAGUCGAGCGAACAGAUGAGGAGCUUGCUCCUCUGACGUUAGCGGCGGACGGGUGAGUAACACGUGGAUAACCUACCUAUAAGACUGGGAUAACUUCGGGAAACCGGAGCUAAUACCGGAUAAUAUAUUGAACCGCAUGGUUCAAUAGUGAAAGACGGUUUUGCUGUCACUUAUAGAUGGAUCCGCGCCGCAUUAGCUAGUUGGUAAGGUAACGGCUUACCAAGGCAACGAUGCGUAGCCGACCUGAGAGGGUGAUCGGCCACACUGGAACUGAGACACGGUCCAGACUCCUACGGGAGGCAGCAGUAGGGAAUCUUCCGCAAUAGGCGAAAGCCUGACGGAGCAACGCCGCGUGAGUGAUGAAGGUCUUCGGAUCGUAAAACUCUGUUAUUAGGGAAGAACAAAUGUGUAAGUAACUAUGCACGUCUUGACGGUACCUAAUCAGAAAGCCACGGCUAACUACGUGC